GACGAACGCUGGCGGCGUGCCUAAUACAUGCCAGUUGAGCGCUGAAGGUUGGUACUUGUCCCGACUGGAUGAGCAGCGAACGGGUGAGUAACGCGUGGGGAAUCUGCCUUUGAGCGGGGGACAACAUUUGGAAACGAAUGCUAAUACCGCAUAAAAACUUUAAACACAAGUUUUAAGUUUGAAAGAUGCAAUUGCAUCACUCAAAGAUGAUCCCGCGUUGUAUUAGCUAGUUGGUGAGGUAAAGGCUCACCAAGGCGAUGAUACAUAGCCGACCUGAGAGGGUGAUCGGCCACAUUGGGACUGAGACACGGCCCAAACUCCUACGGGAGGCAGCAGUAGGGAAUCUUCGGCAAUGGACGAAAGUCUGACCGAGCAACGCCGCGUGAGUGAAGAAGGGUUUCGGAUCGUAAAACUCUGUUGGUAGAGAAGAACGUUGGUGAGAGUGGAAAGCUCAUCAAGUGACGGUAACUACCCAGAAAGGGACGGCUAACUACGUG
Molecule: ribosomal RNA, 497 nt
Filed under: uncultured bacterium
Lineage: Bacteria
Description: partial 16S ribosomal RNA
Rfam family: Bacterial small subunit ribosomal RNA
Source: RNAcentral